Molecule: non-coding RNA, 72 nt
Organism: Chiloscyllium plagiosum (whitespotted bambooshark)
Lineage: Eukaryota; Metazoa; Chordata; Chondrichthyes; Orectolobiformes; Hemiscylliidae
Source: the annotation of a RefSeq genome assembly
GGUUCCGUGGUGUAAUGGCUAGCACUCUGGACUUUGAAUCCAGCGAUCCGAGUUUGAAUCUCGGUGGAACCU